Molecule: ribosomal RNA, 503 nt
Filed under: uncultured bacterium
Lineage: Bacteria
Description: partial 16S ribosomal RNA
Rfam family: Bacterial small subunit ribosomal RNA
Source: RNAcentral
AUUGAACGCUGGCGGCAGGCUUAACACAUGCAAGUCGAGCGGGGUGAUGGUGCUUGCACUAUCACUUAGCGGCGGACGGGUGAGUAAUGCUUAGGAAUCUGCCUAUUAGUGGGGGACAACAUCUCGAAAGGGAUGCUAAUACCGCAUACGUCCUACGGGAGAAAGCAGGGGAUCACUUGUGACCUUGCGCUAAUAGAUGAGCCUCAGUCGGAUUAGCUAGUUGGUGGGGUAAAGGCCUACCAAGGCGACGAUCUGUAGCGGGUCUGGGAGGAUGAUCCGACACACUGGGACUGAGACACGGCCCAGACUCCUACGGGAGGCAGCAGUGGGGAAUAUUGGACAAUGGGGGGAACCCUGAUCCAGCCAUGCCGCGUGUGUGAGGAAGGCCUUAUGGUUGUAAAGCACUUUAAGCGAGGAGGAGGCUCUUUUGGUUAAUACCCAAGAUGAGUGGACGUUACUCGCAGAAUAAGCACCGGCUAACUCUGUGCCAGCCGCCGCAGUAA